GAGAUCAUGACCUGAGCCGAAGUCGGACACUCAACUGACUGAGCCACCCAGAGAACGGCGCAAACUGUAGCUGCUGAUAGAACCCAGCUUUACUCAAGCAUGAAGAAUCAUUCAAGCGCAGACUGAACAAAAGAAGUUGGAGAGGAGGCACUUCUUUUUCGUCAAAUUUUGAUUAAAAGGGUAAGAAUGACUUGA
Molecule: long non-coding RNA, 195 nt
Organism: Leopardus geoffroyi (Geoffroy's cat)
Lineage: Eukaryota; Metazoa; Chordata; Mammalia; Carnivora; Felidae
Exons: 2
Source: RefSeq, a predicted model, not a curated record